Molecule: long non-coding RNA, 418 nt
Organism: Hydra vulgaris (swiftwater hydra)
Lineage: Eukaryota; Metazoa; Cnidaria; Hydrozoa; Anthoathecata; Hydridae
Source: RefSeq, a predicted model, not a curated record
AUUUUGUUUUCCAUAACUUAAUUUUAAAAUGUGGGGAAAAAAAUGUUAAGUUCCAGGUAAUAGGUCUUAUAUGAUAUGUAUGUUAUGUAUAUCUUGUAUUUUGCAGCAUGUUUAAGAAAAUUCCUGCAUGGUGCAAUCUGACUGUUGACAAUAUUUGCAUACUGAUUCGAGUAAAAGUGACUUCAACAAACAGAAUGUAUUUGAUAAAUAUUAGUAAUGACAGCUCAUAUUGAAACGAGAUAUUUUGUAAAGAGGUUUUCAAAGAAGUCGUUUGAACAAAACUAGAAAAGCCUCCAAUUCCCGAUAUAACCGUGAAAGUAUUCGAUACAUGAUUAAAGAAGAAUCGUUUAAAAGUUUGCUUAAUUUCGACAGUGUAAUUUUAAUUACUAUUUUUUUGAAAUAAACCAUUCAAGUUAUA